Non-coding RNA from Vigna umbellata (rice bean), 1025 nucleotides. Lineage: Eukaryota; Viridiplantae; Streptophyta; Magnoliopsida; Fabales; Fabaceae. The record is from RefSeq and is a predicted model, not a curated record.
UAGGAAAAUGGUCUCCUUACUUAUUGUGCUUUUUCUAUGCAGUCAUUGAUAUCAUAAGGAUGAUAGUUCUUCAUCCAGAUGGGGCUAUUUUACUUAACAAGCAUUUUGAAGCAGAAAACGACAUUAUAGUGGAAGUGAUUAAGAAAGUCACUGUAAGUCCGACAAUUCCUGCGAAUCUGUUGACUAGCAUUCGUGCUGUGACUAAUCUCUUCAGGAAUUCAUGCUACUACAAUUGGUUGCAGAAACAUCGUAGUGAGAUACUUGACGCUUUCUCAAGUUGUAGUUCAUCUCCAAACAAAAAUUUGCAGUUGUCAUACUCUACCUUGUUACUAAAUUAUGCUGUGCUGUUGAUUGAAUCAAAUGAUCAAGAAGGUCAAUCUCAAGUUCUAUCAGCAGCUCUUGAGCUUGCCGAGGAUGAAAAUGUGGAAGUUGAUUCCAAAUUUCGUGCUUUGGUUGCUGUUGGAUCUCUGAUGCUUAAGGGUCUCGUCAGAAAAAUAGCUCUGGAUUUUGAUGUUUUGAACAUUGCAAAAGCAGCUAAGGGUUCUAAGGAUGCCAAGAUUGCUGAAGUCGGAUCUGACAUUGAGCUGUUAACAAAGCAGACCUGAAAUGGUGUUCCGCUCCUCCAAAUAAAAUGAAGGAUUACUUUUUGUACUAAAAGGAUGUCAGCAACCAAUAUCACUGUUUAGAGUGUAAAACUGUCAUCUUUUUGUAUUUAAAAACAAGGAGCUCUUUCAUUUUAGAAGAUUCAUCGAAAGUGGCUCAGCAGCAGUAACCUACAAUUACAGAUUUCCACUCCCUACUGAGAUAAUUAUAGUUGAAAAACCAUGAGACGUUUAUCAGAUAGAUUGUGUAAGCCAAUUGAGCAAUCGAGAACAUUAUAGUCUUUUUUUAUAAUUUGCUUUAAUUUUAGGUUAUUAGUUAUUUAACAUUUGGGGACGUGAAUGAAGUGUGUGUGCUACCAGCGUGUUUGUUUUUUCUAUUUAAGAGUGCACGUUUUGGUCUUAUCCAUCAAACAGAUUCUAUUU